AGUGAACGCUGGCGGUAGGCCUAACACAUGCAAGUCGAACGGCAGCACAGUAAGAGCUUGCUCUUACGGGUGGAGAGUGGCGGACGGGUGAGGAAUACAUCGGAAUCUACUUUUUCGUGGGGGAUAACGUAGGGAAACUUACGCUAAUACCGCAUACGACCUACGGGUGAAAGCAGGGGAUCUUCGGACCUUGCGCGAUUGAAUGAGCCGAUGUCGGAUUAGCUAGUUGGCGGGGUAAAGGCCCACCGAGGCGACGAUCCGUAGCUGGGCUGAGAGGGUGUUGCGCGACACUGGGACUGAGACACGAUCCUGAGUCCGACGUGAGGCACCGGUUGGUAAUGUAGGACGCUGGGCGCAAUCCUGAUCCAGCCAUGCCGGGUGGAUGAAGAAGGGCCUCGGGUGGUAAGGCCCUUUUGGGGUGAAAAAAAAGCAUCAGGAUAGUCGCCGGCUGUUGUGACGGUACCCAAAGAAGAAGCACCGGCUAACUUCGUG
RNAcentral lists this ribosomal RNA (492 nucleotides) under uncultured bacterium. RNAcentral describes it as "partial 16S ribosomal RNA". It matches the Rfam family "Bacterial small subunit ribosomal RNA", at positions 29 to 507 of the family's 1533-position model. The record is from RNAcentral.